GACGAACGCUGGCGGCGUGCUUAACACAUGCAAGUCGAACGGUAAGGCCCUUCGGGGUACACGAGUGGCGAACGGGUGAGUAACACGUGGGUGAUCUGCCCUGCACUUUGGGAUAAGCCUGGGAAACUGGGUCUAAUACCGGAUAGGACAUGCGCUUCACGGUGUGUGGUGGAAAGCUUUUGCGGUGUGGGAUGGGCCCGCGGCCUAUCAGCUUGUUGGUGGGGUAAUGGCCUACCAAGGCGACGACGGGUAGCCGGCCUGAGAGGGUGACCGGCCACACUGGGACUGAGAUACGGGCCAGACUCCUACGGGAGGCAGCAGUGGGGAAUAUUGCACAAUGGGCGCAAGCCUGAUGCAGCGACGCCGCGUGAGGGAUGACGGCCUUCGGGUUGUAAACCUCUUUCAGUAGGGACGAAGCGCAAGUGACGGUACCUACAGAAGAAGGACCGGCCAACUACGUGCCAGCCGCCGCGGUAA
Molecule: ribosomal RNA, 477 nt
Filed under: uncultured bacterium
Lineage: Bacteria
Description: partial 16S ribosomal RNA
Rfam family: Bacterial small subunit ribosomal RNA
Source: RNAcentral